GGAAAUUUAGUUCAGUUGGUCAGAACGUCCGGCUCAUAACCGGAAAGUCCAGGGUUCGAGUCCCUGAAUUUCCA
Molecule: transfer RNA, 74 nt
Filed under: Bacteriophage sp.
Description: tRNA-Met
Rfam family: tRNA
About the family: Transfer RNA (tRNA) molecules are approximately 80 nucleotides in length. Their secondary structure includes four short double-helical elements and three loops (D, anti-codon, and T loops).
Source: RNAcentral